RNAcentral lists this long non-coding RNA (1175 nucleotides) under Cricetulus griseus (Chinese hamster). Its description in RNAcentral is "lncRNA (ENSCGRG00015039851.1)". The record is from RNAcentral. Lineage: Eukaryota; Metazoa; Chordata; Mammalia; Rodentia; Cricetidae.
CUUUUACUGGUUGAUGAAUAAAGCUGAUUUGGCCAAUGGCCAAGCAGAAUAAAGCCAGGCAGGAAAUCCAAACAAAGAUACAGAGAGAAAGAAGGCAAAGUCAGGGAGACUCCAUGUAGCCGCCAGGGAAGCAAGAUGUGAGGUAACAAGACACGAGCCUCAUGGUAAAAUACAGGAUAUUAGGAAGGGGUUAAUUUAGUUGUGAGAGCUAGUUAGUAAUAUGCCUGAACCAAUGGCCAAACAAUGAUAAUUAAUUGGUUAAUGGGGAACUGCCGAGCGGGAUGAGAACCCUCCAGACAGUUUUGUAUAAUUCCAUUUGUCAGUUUUUGCCAUUUUGUGUGUAUCUAGGGGAACAGUCAAAAAACAGCCAGCUGUGUCAACAUCUUGACCGCUCUUCCAUGGUUCCCCAGUGGUGUCAGAACCUCAGGUCUUACCUUAACUUUCAUCAGUGUGCUGUAGGCUGGUCUCAGAGGGCCAGGUCCCCACUGUCCCUGUUCCUAUGGGCAGAGCACCCUUCCCCUACAGUGCAAAGCAGUCUGUGGGUUGACUCAGCCACUCUGCUGAGCCAACCAUGAUUCAUAAUCUCUGCCACUUUUCAAAAUCUGUGGCCUUGGGCACAUUCCUGAACCUCCUCUGCCUUGGAUUUCCUUUACAUAAUUUUACAUAAUGUUUUCGAGAUUAUAAUGUAAUAUAAUACUCAAAGUGGAUUAAACCAACUGAUGUUUACAAUGGAUCAUAAGUAGGUGUUAGAUAAAAGUAAACUUAAGCAAAAUGUAAGAGCAAAGUUUAGGCAGAUGGUUUUCUGGUACCAGAAGAACUCAGUGGUCGUGAGCAGCCAGCACAAGAUCCUUAACAUGCCACAUUAAAUUAACCUAAUUUCAUUUUUAGAAGAUUUAAUUAUGAGGUGGCUAGGGGAAACAAGAUAACGUUAAUGAAUUCCGACUUGAGUGAAACACUUAAUGUCUCGUGAUGCCUGUGUGAGCAGAGAGAAAAUAAUAUAUCAAAAAGGACUUCUUGGAAAAAAAUCAGGACUGUGUUAAAGUGAACCAGACAGACCUUUGGCUGUCAAUCUUCAUUUUCUACAGAAGAAACUGUUAGAAGUCAUAUAUACCUGCUCCCUCCCCAUCCUGGGGACUUGGAGAAUUCCUUUUCCAGUGUUGCUGCUGAUGACUGGG